RNAcentral lists this ribosomal RNA (497 nucleotides) under uncultured bacterium. RNAcentral describes it as "partial 16S ribosomal RNA". It matches the Rfam family "Bacterial small subunit ribosomal RNA", at positions 28 to 507 of the family's 1533-position model. The record is from RNAcentral.
GAUGAACGCUGGCGGCGUGCCUAAUACAUGCAAGUCGAGCGAACGGACGAGAAGCUUGCUUCUCUGAUGUUAGCGGCGGACGGGUGAGUAACACGUGGAUAACCUACCUAUAAGACUGGGAUCACUUCGGGAAACCGGAGCUAAUACCGGAUAAUAUUUUGAACCGCAUGGUUCAAAAGUGAAAGACGGUCUUGCUGUCACUUAUAGAUGGAUCCGCGCUGCAUUAGCUAGUUGGUAAGGUAACGGCUUACCAAGGCAACGAUGCAUAGCCGACCUGAGAGGGUGAUCGGCCACACUGGAACUGAGACACGGUCCAGACUCCUACGGGAGGCAGCAGUAGGGAAUCUUCCGCAAUGGUCGAAAGCCUGACGGAGCAACGCCGCGUGAGUGAUGAAGGUCUUCGGAUCGUAAAACUCUGUUAUUAGGGAAGAACAUAUGUGUAAGUAACUGUGCACAUCUUGACGGUACCUAAUCAGAAAGCCACGGCUAACUACGUG